This 136-nucleotide microRNA precursor is filed under the name Hordeum vulgare. Its description in RNAcentral is "microRNA MIR1122". It matches the Rfam family "MIR1120/MIR1122 microRNA precursor family". Lineage: Eukaryota; Viridiplantae; Streptophyta; Magnoliopsida; Poales; Poaceae. The record is from RNAcentral.
AUAAUACUUCCUCCGUUCCGAAAUUAUUGUCUUAAAUUUGUUUAGAUAUGAAUGUAUCUAGUCAUGUUUUAGUAUUUAGAUAUAUACAUUUCUAAAUAAAUUUAAAAUAAAAAUUUUGAAACGGAGGGAGUACUAU